This 1085-nucleotide long non-coding RNA is filed under the name Rosa chinensis. Its description in RNAcentral is "sRNA RchiOBHm_Chr7g0203211". The record is from RNAcentral. Lineage: Eukaryota; Viridiplantae; Streptophyta; Magnoliopsida; Rosales; Rosaceae.
UUUAGAUUACUGUGAGGACUGUUAACUCUAAGAAUAAAAAGUUUCUUUAGGUAGUAAGAAGAUACAAAAUAUAAGCUGCCUUGAUAGAUAUAAUUUAAAUGUUGCCCUUUAGAGAAUUGAUUUAGCUGAGUACAGUUUGGUGAAGAUACAAUUGUAUCCUCUAGGUUUAAUAGUAUAUGGUGGUAACUGAUGAAUCCUAGGAUGAGCCUAGAGUGAGUCUACAAUCCUAAUAUGUGUUGUCUGUGUCUUUUUUUUUGGCUGUCUCCUCCACUCGUAUAAAUUUAUCAUCUUGUCUAUAUUCUUUUCUUUGCAUUAAUCUACUAGGGUGCUUCAUGGAUUUUGUUGUUUUGUUUUGUUAUGUAAAGUCUAUCAUAUGAAGUGUUUUGUUGAAUUACAGUUUGAAAUUUUCAAAUACUUGCCAUGAAUUUACGUGGAAGCAAACUGUUGGGAUUGAAAAGCAACUCUUGAACAGAAUUCUCUUAAGGAAUGAAAGAUCCAAAUCUUGAUUGAAAUCUAAGCACACAAAAAGAAGAAGGGUCAUUGAUCAGGUGUAGUCAUUUCAAAUAGUACAUUGGUUCAUGCUGUGAGUAGUUUUACAAAAGUUUAAAAGGAAGGAAAUCUGAAAGGAAGAGCGAAGGUAAAAAGGAUUCAUGAAGAAGCAUGAGUUGUGGAAGCUCUGAAAAAGGUCAUUACAGAAACCAUGCCAUUCUUCCCUUCUGUAUAGUUUAAAACUAGUAUCUAGUCAUCACACUUCUGUAUAGAUGAAAGAAAGCAUGUGCUAGGAGUAAUAGAUUAGUGUCUUUAUAAAGAUUUUUUGUUUUGAACAUUAAGCUAUUGAAAUAGAUUUGCAUCUUUUUGUGCAGUGGCUAUUGAAGUUAUUGAAAGAGAUUGCAAUAACAAUAGAGUAAUUGGUAUGUGAAGUAGAACGAAGAAGAUCCCUUCAAAGUUUAUCUUGAAGUAGAGGAAGAAAACAAAGCUUAAUUAUCUUGUAAACUUUUGUAGAAGCUUCAUUCCUUUUGCAACGUUCAUGAAUGUAUCAUUCCUUUUUGUAUAAGUUGCAUUCCUUUUUGUAUAGCUUUUAUUCC